AUGUCCAUAUCAUGUAUCACUUCUAGAUGGAAAGGUGUGCGGAAGGGAUUUGUACCAGUUAAUCGGGUAGCAAUUGAACGGAAUGCAAAACUUUUGUUGGAUAAAACAGUAGAAGAGCACCAGAGGAUGCUUGAAGGAAUUGUAAAGCAGGAUGAGAAGUGUCGCAAAAGUAUCAAGGCUGCUGGCAUCGGUUACAAGUGUCCAGCCCUUGUAACACUUGAUGUUGUUCAUUGA
Molecule: ribosomal RNA, 234 nt
Filed under: Triticum aestivum (bread wheat)
Lineage: Eukaryota; Viridiplantae; Streptophyta; Magnoliopsida; Poales; Poaceae
Description: partial small subunit ribosomal RNA
Source: RNAcentral